Molecule: non-coding RNA, 74 nt
Organism: Paramuricea clavata
Lineage: Eukaryota; Metazoa; Cnidaria; Anthozoa; Malacalcyonacea; Plexauridae
Source: the annotation of a GenBank genome assembly
UCACAAGGGUAGUUACUAUUUUUAGAACUAUAUAUAUAUAUAUAUAGUUCUAAAAAUAGUAACUACCCUUGUGA